This 880-nucleotide ribosomal RNA is filed under the name Fergusobia sp. UPG M. armillaris. RNAcentral describes it as "partial 28S ribosomal RNA". It matches the Rfam family "Eukaryotic large subunit ribosomal RNA", at positions 378 to 944 of the family's 3401-position model. Lineage: Eukaryota; Metazoa; Nematoda; Chromadorea; Rhabditida; Neotylenchidae. The record is from RNAcentral.
GAAGAGAGAGUUAAAGAGCACGUGAAAUCGGUAAGGUGGAAACGGAUAGAGUUGACGUAUAUGGCUUGUAUUCAAACGUUAGAUAAUGCGUAACAAUGGGUUGUUUUUUGUGUUGACCGGUUUAAUAUACGCUAUUUUCGGAUAGUUUGUUAUGUUGGGCUGGUUUGGCGCGCAGUCCAUUGGUGUUUACGUUUUUUAGCGUUGCAUUUACGAGUCAAUGUGCGCUGGGACAUGCGCGCUACGGUCGUUGAAAAAGUUUGGUUGCAAGAGGUUACUUUUUUUAAAAAAGUAUUUUAUUAUUUUUUAUAAAUGAUAAAAUAUAAAAGUAAAACCGUGCCCCUUUUGUAGGCGAUUCGUCGUGCAUGUAGUACUAAAAUUUUUGGUUUUUAAAGGAUGGCAUUUUUAAAAUAAAUGCGAGCGUUUAAAUUGAGUUGUAUUUAUUUGUUAUGCGAGUCGCACGCGACUCGUAUAAUUAAUUUGUUUUAAAAAUGGAUACAUCAGUUUAAAUGUUACACGUUUUCCUUUAUCCCAGUGUAAAAGUCAAUCAUCUAUCCGACCCGUCUUGAAACACGGACCAAGGAGUUUAACGUAUACGCGAGUCAUUGGGUGUUAAAAACCUAAAGGCGUAAUGAAAGUAAACGUAUUCUUUGAAAUACAAAUAUGCGAUCUUGUGAACUACGAUUUACAAGCGCAGCAUAGCCCCGUUUUUGUCGCAUGCGAUAGAGCGGAGGAAGAGCGUAUGCGUUGAGACCCGAAAGAUGGUGAACUAUGCCUGAGCAGGACGAAGCCAGAGGAAACUCUGGUGGAAGUCCGAAUCGGUUCUGACGUGCAAAUCGAUCGUCUGACUUGGGUAUAGGGGCGAAAGACUAAUCGAACUAUC